Chrysemys picta bellii (western painted turtle) is the source of this 2036-nucleotide long non-coding RNA. NCBI's taxonomy places the organism in Eukaryota, Metazoa, Chordata, Testudines, Emydidae. The record is from Ensembl.
UUACUGAACAUCCUACCCCGAGAGUGACAUGGGAAGACUUCCGGGAAGUGAGUUAUUUUCAGGCAUAAAUGGCUGCAGCACCAGGGCUUUGGUUUGGAGCACAACCACACUGCUUGGGCAGAGUGUGGCUUGCUCUGUUUUUUACAUAGCUGACCGUGUAAAGCAGACUUCCUUACUCCCAGGGGGGUCCUAGUCCAGGACUCGGAUUCCUAGGCACUACGGCAAUAGAAUGAGUAUUAAUAAGAAGUGUCUGGUUGUCUGAAGGGGUUGUAGCAAUGAACACUGCAGGGCUAUGCCGAGGGAAGCGCAACACGAAUUUCAAUGUAAAUCUUCACCUUUUCCAAGCUAAUUUCAAACCAGCUUCUGUAAUUUAUAGAGGAAAUGCUCAGCAGCUCAGUGAUUCAGUACCCAGAAAGGCACUUGCUCAUGGAUAUAAAUUUAGCUUGCAAAGAACUGAAAAAUGCGGUGCAUUUUAGCACAGUGAGGAACUGAAGGCUUCUGAUGUUUCCUUUUUUUUUUAAAUGUUUCUUUUAUUGCUGAAAUAUCUUGAGUUUGGACAUUUUUAAUGUUUACUCUCUCCUGUCAGUUACAUUGUGGGACACCGUCUCCAUGGAAGAGAUGCAUAUAUUAUUGCAGUUCCUGGCUUGUUGAGUGAUGUCCAGUUCUUGGGAAUAUUUCAUACUUCUAAGACUGCCUAAAUAGAAAAUGACCUCCCUGAGCAUAAGUUCUGAGGUCAUUUCUGUGCACCUUGUUUUGUGUUCCUUGUAUGUGCUGUAUAACAUGCCGCAGACUCACUGCUGGGUCAGUGUGUGUGUGUGUGUGUGUGUGUGUUUUAUUUAUUUGUAAUACUGAAAAGUUGUUUAAGAUUUCUUUAAAAAAUAUAUAUUUUUUCCUCUCCAGCCUGUCAUGUGGGUGCAUUUUAAAUCUGUUCUCCCAGGGAAGAAAUGCUAGCAUUUGUAUGCUUGUCUUACCAAUGGCACAUGCCCCUACAGUACUUAACACCGAGUUCUCCUGGGCACAGAAUCGACCCUCGUGAGGAAUUCAUUGACAGUCCCAGCAAGCAACGCUGGCUGAGCUCUGCAUUUGACCUCACCAUCUUUGACUGCAGUUAGGUAGGCGAGUGCAAUGGAAAAUACCUUAUUCACGGGGAGGGAAGCCAGGCUGACCUUGGAAUAGGUCAGAAAAAUCAACCCUGGUUGUGUCAGUCUCUGUGCUGACAACUCCGACUACUCCAGCAUACAAACUGCUUUGUAGGAAAUCUGCCUCUUCCUAAUGUUCUCAGUUUCCAGGGACAUUAAAAAUAGAAGAAAGGAGCCAGACUCUUGCACUAGAUAAAUGGGGUUUCUUAGGACUUGACAACUGCAUCUGGACAGCAAAUCACCAUUAACUUUACACAGCAGGAGGGAAAUUCUUUCCCAGUUACCUGGAGCAACCUGGUAGAACUGCCGAAGAGCUUAACUGAUCAUUUUGCAAUCUACCGUGGUUGGCAUUGUGUGUACAGCCUCUGCUCAUUAGGAGGCCUUAAACUCAUGGGGGCAACUUCAUCCCUGCAGGAACGCCAGGGAAGGCAGUGGAGUUACCCCCAGGAUGAACUUGGCCCUGUGGAUGCACAUAUUGUAGUGUAAGAGGUGAGCUCGCCUGUACUCUGAGCAAGGGUUUAAGGAAGACAUGAUCGUUCCAGCAUUACAGCCCGGCUCGGUUGCCAAAGGCUUCUGCAUACUGGAAAAUACUGCAUGGAAUCGAACUCCUAUGACACUUGACUGCCUUGGCGUAACGACCGAGGGCAGGAAAUGAAAAUGCAGUGGUUUGGGUUUUUUCUCACUGCAUGUGGAGAAAAUACCUGGCUAGGCAGAAACAGCUGGGCGCUACAGGCGUCAAAACCUCUGACCGUGUUAAGCUGUCAGUUGUCUUUAAGGGGAAGUGUCCCUGAACCACGAGGGGGGGGAGGGGGAAUUCUCUUGCGUAUUGAACAGGAACACAUCAGACAGAAUGAUACCAUCAGCAAGACGUUGAAUGGGGGUGUGUGCGUGUGAGAG